GGACCGGUAGCUCAAUCGGUUGGGGCACCGCCCUGUCAAGGCGGAGGCUGCGGGUUCGAGUCCCGUCCGGUCCG
RNAcentral lists this transfer RNA (74 nucleotides) under Chitinispirillales bacterium. RNAcentral's name for it is "tRNA-Asp". It matches the Rfam family "tRNA". From Rfam's summary of the family: Transfer RNA (tRNA) molecules are approximately 80 nucleotides in length. The record is from RNAcentral. Lineage: Bacteria; Pseudomonadati; Fibrobacterota; Chitinispirillia; Chitinispirillales.